UACGUAGGUGGCGAGCGUUGUCCGGAAUUACUGGGCGUAAAGGGCGCGCAGGCGGCUCGUUAAGUUGGGCGUGAAAUCCCCUGGCUCAACUGGGGGAGGCCGUCCAAUACUGGGGGGCUUGAGUGCAGGAGAGGGAAGUGGAAUUCCCGGUGUAGCGGUGAAAUGCGUAGAUAUCGGGAAGAACACCAGUGGCGAAGGCGGCUCUCUGGCCUGUUACUGACGCUGAGGCGCGAAAGCGUGGGGAUCAAACAGGAUUAGAUACCCAUGUAGUCC
This 273-nucleotide ribosomal RNA is filed under the name uncultured bacterium. RNAcentral's name for it is "partial 16S ribosomal RNA". It matches the Rfam family "Bacterial small subunit ribosomal RNA", at positions 524 to 796 of the family's 1533-position model. The record is from RNAcentral.